This is an RNA transcript of Triticum dicoccoides, 1914 nucleotides long. It is a transcript of the gene named phytoene synthase 1, chloroplastic-like, with no coding region annotated. Lineage: Eukaryota; Viridiplantae; Streptophyta; Magnoliopsida; Poales; Poaceae. The transcript is spliced from 7 exons. The record is from RefSeq and is a predicted model, not a curated record.
AUGCAGCAGAUGGCCACCACCGUCACGCUGCUGCUCGGGGCAGCCUCGUCCCCCGGUGAUGGCGCCGCGCGGGACGGCGUCCAGUGCUCCCGCAUGUUGCCUAGGAGGAGGCAGCAGAGGCCGCGGUGGGUGCUCUGCUCGCUCAAGUACGGCUGCCUCGGCGUCGGCGAGCCGGGGGAGGCGGGAACCCGGAGCGCGGCGUCGCCGGUCUACUCCAGCCUCACCGUCAGCCCCGGCGGCGAGGCGGCCGUCGCCGUCGUCUCCUCGGAGCAGAAGGUGUACGACGUGGUGGUGAAGCAGGCGGCAUUGCUCAAGCGCCAGCUCCGGCCACAGCAGGCGGCGCCGCCCGCCGUAGCCAGGGAGCUGGACGCGCCGCGCGGCGGGCUCGGGGAGGCCUACGCCCGCUGCGGCGAGAUCUGCGAGGAGUACGCCAAGACCUUCUACCUCGGGACCUUGCUGAUGACAGAGGAGCGGCGGCGCGCCAUAUGGGCCAUCUACGUAUGGUGCAGGAGGACAGACGAGCUGGUGGACGGUCCCAACGCGUCGCACAUCACGCCGCAGGCGCUGGACCGGUGGGAGAGGAGGCUGGAGGACCUCUUCGCCAGGCGGCCCUACGACAUGCUCGACGCCGCGCUCUCCGACACCAUCACCAAGUUCCCCAUAGAUAUUCAGCCCUUCAAGGACAUGAUCGACGGGAUGCGGACGGACCUCAAGAAGGCGAGGUACACGAACUUUGACGAGCUCUACAUGUACUGCUACUAUGUUGCGGGCACCGUGGGGCUGAUGAGUGUCCCGGUGAUGGGCAUUGCGCCCGAGUCCAAGGCGACGGCUGAGAGUGUCUAUGGCGCCGCUCUGGCUCUCGGGCUCGCGAACCAGCUCACCAACAUACUCAGGGAUGUCGGAGAAGAUGCAAGAAGAGGAAGGAUAUAUUUGCCGCAAGACGAGCUCGCGGAGGCAGGGCUCUCCGAUGAAGACAUCUUCAAAGGGGUCGUCACCGACAAGUGGAGGAAAUUCAUGAAGAGGCAGAUCAAGAGGGCGAGGAUGUUCUUCGAGGAGGCGGAGCGAGGGGUAACCGAGCUCAGGAAGGAGAGCCGGUGGCCAGUUUGGGCCUCUCUGUUGCUAUACCGGCAGAUCCUCGACGAGAUCGAAGCGAACGACUACAACAACUUCACCAGGAGGGCCUAUGUUGGGAAGGCGAAGAAGGUGCUGGCGCUCCCUGUCGCGUACGGGAGAUCGCUGCUCUUACCGUAUUCACUGAGAAAUAACCAGACCUAGAAGAAACAACAAAGCAAGAUGAAGAUGGUCAGGUUAGGCUAGAUAGAAAGAAGCAGGGCGGUGUCGCGACAUCUGCCUUCGAGCUCUUCAUCUGGUCAGUUGGAUAGUCAAUGCGGCGAAUCAGUCAGUACAUUCCUCAGCGAUGAAUGUUGUAUGCAUGACAUGAAGGGCCGGGGAAGGAAGGGAGAAGAACACUGCAGCCAACCGAGAUGGAGACCAAAUGUUUGCAUGUACAUUUGAACACAGAACAAGAUGUAUAUAUAUACUCGUUGUCGGUCCUGAACUAAGGAAACAGGGGCGAUGGGACAUAGAUCAAGGAGGUUCCUUAGGACUAGCUAGCUAGCAGUCCUCAAGACUAGGUUCUACAGUUACAACGGAAACACACGUUACAUGUACUACAGGACAGUCACCUUAUUACAACUCAACAGCAACUUCCAAAGCUAACCUCCCUCGGGGAAGUUGCCAUUGAAGGAGAGCUAACAACCUGAAGCCGGCAAGCGCUCGCCUCGGGGCAUAGGAGUGUAAAGGCCGAUGAUCAGAAUCAGCUUACCAUAUCCAUGAUCAUCGCACACCCUGGUCGCCUGCCCUGAUUGUACUUGGAUUGCGAAGAGGCCUGCAGCUGUGGUCACAAAAAUGACA